RNAcentral lists this small RNA (809 nucleotides) under Pongo abelii (Sumatran orangutan). RNAcentral describes it as "retained intron". The record is from RNAcentral. Lineage: Eukaryota; Metazoa; Chordata; Mammalia; Primates; Hominidae.
GCGAGGCCUACGUUUUCUGCUGUCUUCAUCAGCGUGGGCCGGGGGCCAUCAUGAGGAAGCCACGAGCAGCCGUGGGAAGUGGUCACAGGAAGCAGGCAGCCAGCCAGGAAGGGAGGCAGAAGCGUGCUAAGAACAACAGUCAGGCCAAGCCUUCUGCCUGUGAUGGUCUGGCCAGGCAGCCGGAAGAGGUGGUAUUGCAGGCUUCUGUCUCCUCAUACCAUGUAUUCAGAGACUUAGCUGAAGUCACAGCCUUCCGAGGGAGCCUGCUAAGCUGGUACGACCAAGAGAAACGGGACCUACCAUGGAGAAGACGGGCAGAAGAUGAGGUGGACCUGGACAGGCGGGCAUAUGCUGGUCAGUACAUCUCCUGAGAGCAGGGCUACUUUGCCUCGAGGCCCUUGGGUCUGGGGGCUGUGGGCCAGGUAGGGCAGGUCAGCAGUGUCCUCAUGCCAACCCCUUUCCCCUAGUGUGGGUCUCAGAGGUCAUGCUGCAGCAGACCCAGGUUGCCACUGUGAUCAACUACUAUACCGGAUGGAUGAAGGUGACUCCAGGGGAGGAAGGGAAGGGUCAUGGGUCAGACCCCAGAUGAGAGCCUGUACUUUGGGGUGGGUGUAGAGAAGGCUUCCUCUACCACCUUCGCCCUUGACCUUGUCUUUUUCUGCCUGCCUGUGGCUAUAGAAGUGGCCUACACUGCAGGACCUGGCCAGUGCUUCCCUGGAGGAGGUGAAUCAACUCUGGGCUGGCCUGGGCUACUAUUCUCGUGGCCGGCGGCUGCAGGAGGGAGCUCGGAAGGUAAGGGGAUGGCAGGA